This 216-nucleotide ribosomal RNA is filed under the name uncultured bacterium. Its description in RNAcentral is "partial 16S ribosomal RNA". It matches the Rfam family "Bacterial small subunit ribosomal RNA", at positions 1285 to 1500 of the family's 1533-position model. The record is from RNAcentral.
GUCCCAGUUCGGAUUGCAGUCUGCAACUCGAGUGCAUGAAGCUGGAAUCGCUAGUAAUCGCGAAUCAGAAUGUCGCGGUGAAUACGUUCCCGGGUCUUGUACACACCGCCCGUCACACCAUGGGAGUCGGGAAUGCCCGAAGCCGGUGACCCAACCUUAGGGAGGGAGCCGUCGAAGGCAGGCCUGGUAACUGGGGUGAAGUCGUAACAAGGUACC